UACGUAUGGGGCGAGCGUUGUUCGGAGUUAUUGGGCGUAAAGGGCGUGUAGGCGGUUCAUCAAGUCUGGUGUGAAAUCGUCGGGCUUAACCCGACAGAUGCGCUGGAAACUGGUGGGCUUGAGUUCCUGAGGGGAAGCUGGAAUUCCAGGUGUAGGGGUGAAAUCUGUAGAUAUCUGGAAGAACACCGGUGGCGAAGGCGAGCUUCUAUCAGAGGACUGACGCUGAGGCGCGAAAGCGUGGGGAGCAAAC
RNAcentral lists this ribosomal RNA (250 nucleotides) under uncultured bacterium. RNAcentral describes it as "partial 16S ribosomal RNA". It matches the Rfam family "Bacterial small subunit ribosomal RNA", at positions 524 to 773 of the family's 1533-position model. The record is from RNAcentral.